Molecule: long non-coding RNA, 600 nt
Organism: Oreochromis niloticus (Nile tilapia)
Lineage: Eukaryota; Metazoa; Chordata; Actinopteri; Cichliformes; Cichlidae
Exons: 2
Source: RefSeq, a predicted model, not a curated record
GCGGGAAGGCUAACACGCUAAAAAAUAAUAAAUAAAUGCUUUUGUCUUUGGGGCUUCAGACGUCUAUAUGAAGUACAGUGAGACCACGUGAUAUCUGGCGGAAAAUCCCAAAAGUGGGGAUCUGAAAAUGCAUUGGUGUGUCCUGUAUGUCCAAAAGCUUUUUCAUUGCCAUACACACUGAAGCAACUCAUCUCAUCCAAUCAGACACCCCUUCAUCUGUAAAGUCUGGAAAGGGCUUUUACACUGGCCCGACUGUGAUAAGACUGUGGCAUUAGCAUCCUCUGGCUGUCCACCGAAAAAUAUGCCUCAUGCAAAUGAUUGCCCAGUGACUCAGGGAAACAUUUCUAAUGUUGUGGAUCGAGUACUAUGGGAGCUAGUUGAUUGUCCAAAUGUGGACAUCUGUAAGCACUACCCAUAAUGACUGCUUAUUAUUUAAUAACCUUUGGAUUCACUUACUCACUCAUAACAGACCAAAACAGUUAGAAAGAGGCAGUGAGUCAACUCAGACCUUUCCUGCAAUGGCAAAUAUGAGAAUGCACUUGGGACUGCAAAAUAACUUUGAAACACCAGUGUCAUAAAUGUCUCAAACCUUCUGCUCAC